UAGGGAAUCUUCCACAAUGGGCGAAAGCCUGAUGGAGCAACGCCGCGUGUGUGAUGAAGGGUUUCGGCUCGUAAAACACUGUUGUAAGAGAAGAAUGACAUUGAGAGUAACUGUUCAAUGUGUGACGGUAUCUUACCAGAAAGGAACGGCUAAAUACGUGACA
RNAcentral lists this ribosomal RNA (163 nucleotides) under uncultured bacterium. RNAcentral's name for it is "partial 16S rRNA". It matches the Rfam family "Bacterial small subunit ribosomal RNA", at positions 355 to 510 of the family's 1533-position model. The record is from RNAcentral.